GACGAACGCUGGCGGCGUGCUUAACACAUGCCAGUCGAACGAAGAGCGAUGGAAGCUUGCUUCUAUCAAUCUUAGUGGCGAACGGGUGAGUAACGCGUAAUCAACCUGCCCUUCAGAGGGGGACAACAGUUGGAAACGACUGCUAAUACCGCAUACGAUCUAAUCUCGGCAUCGAGGAUAGAUGAAAGGUGGCCUCUACAUGUAAGCUAUCACUGAAGGAGGGGAUUGCGUCUGAUUAGCUAGUUGGAGGGGUAACGGCCCACCAAGGCGAUGAUCAGUAGCCGGUCUGAGAGGAUGAACGGCCACAUUGGGACUGAGACACGGCCCAGACUCCUACGGGAGGCAGCAGUGGGGAAUCUUCCGCAAUGGACGAAAGUCUGACGGAGCAACGCCGCGGGAGUGAUGACGGCCUUCGGGUUGUAAAGCUCUGUUAAUCGGGACGAAAGGCCUUCUUGCGAAUAGUGAGAAGGAUUGACGGUACCGGAAGAGAAAGCCACGGCUAACUACGUG
RNAcentral lists this ribosomal RNA (510 nucleotides) under uncultured bacterium. Its description in RNAcentral is "partial 16S ribosomal RNA". It matches the Rfam family "Bacterial small subunit ribosomal RNA", at positions 28 to 507 of the family's 1533-position model. The record is from RNAcentral.